This is a long non-coding RNA of Anopheles gambiae (African malaria mosquito), 2755 nucleotides long. RefSeq lists it as uncharacterized. Lineage: Eukaryota; Metazoa; Arthropoda; Insecta; Diptera; Culicidae. The transcript has 3 exons. The record is from RefSeq and is a predicted model, not a curated record.
GUGUGAGUGGUUUUUCAGCCGCCGAUGUCUUUUGGAUGCGGGUGUGUCCUUGCAGUCGUGCAAAGCAAGAGUAAAAUCCUAAAUGUUAUCGGAGAGCACUGCAUGGGGAAGUUUUCACCAUAGAGCAUUUUCCUCGCCAGUCGACCGCACCCAGCUUCGUGACGUUAUGUUCUGCUUUGUUCUCUUUUCCCCAUUUACAAGUGCACUUUUCCGGAUGGGAUGGCGUUUGGUGGUUGAUUCACUGAUCAACUUUAGAAGGUUCGCCUGCUGUUGGGUGUUUCGUAUGCUGUUUAUAAUCUCUCGGCGGUGGGUGACGGAUGAGCAACGAAAAACAACAUACACGCGUCAAACUACCCAGAAAAGGUGUGCCCGAUGGGUGCUCCGGAGAUAGAUAGACCAAAUAUUGAAUGCAAACAGUACUUUAGCAGGAAAGAAGAUGUAAAAGGAAGUUGGGUUUGUGGUGCCUUUUUGGGUGGUGGGUAAGCGCGAUUAGUCAUCCCAUCGUUUGCUGCCAGUCAUCUGCCGAGUUUUGUGCAAUGUCCACAAUGACUAGUUGACAUUUGAAAGUUCGGUUUGCUCCAGUUUGACGUGCAAAGAGGUUUUGAAUUUUGGAAACUGUUCCUUCACAAGUUUCAGACGAGUGAUAGCCUGAUCGAGUACAUUCUGCUCUACGUCAAAAGGAGAGUUGCAAAACCAGUGUCCAUCGAUGGUUCCGUUCCGAUCUGUAUGUUCCGAAUGGCGGAAGUGAAUCAUCACCGGCGGUUGAAGCUGUGACGCCAUCCCAAGAAGUGAAGGAGGACGGCAGCAAACACUGGUGACUCUAAUUCCCCAACCGUUCAGCGGGCUGGCGGGAUUGAUGACUUAACCCGCAGGUGAGCAGAAGAGUGUUAUCGGUUUCGAUUUCGAGAGCGGGCAGAUAACGAAUGGGAUGGGAUUUUGUUUGGGCUGCUUUGGAGCGUGUAGCUUCAUACAUGCUGCAGUAGCUUAACCGAGUGUUACAACAAAGUGCGCGCGAAGAAGCGAGAGAGAGAGAGAUAGUGAAGAGAGAAAGAGAGACAGAGAGAGAGCGAAUAUAGGCCCCUCAACAGAGCAAGAGCGUGAUUGAUGUCGUGUUCUCGGUGUCGUUGAGGUGUCUCGUAGUGAUGAGCGGAUCGAUUCCGACCCGUGGGUGCAGCGAGUUAGGUUUAUAAAAGUUCGGUAGGUUCAUAUGAGUUCAGAAAGUUGGAUUGUUUAACCCUUUGACAGUCCUAGGAUUAGUAGAAAAUGCUCAAACCCAUAGUGAAAUAAUGGCAAAAAGUUACGAAAAGAAAUUAAUUUUGGCCCAGAACGUUGCUUUACAAAAGAUGAUGAGCAAAAUGUGUAAUUAUCCUUGUUCUAUCUCCCUCCCCUUCCCCCCACGCGACGAUUGAAUCGAAACGUUGAAAAAAAUUACUGCUCGAGUCUCUCUCGGGCAAACCAGUGAAUGGAUUAACGAACAGCGAAUGUGAUGAGAAUAAAAAAGAAAAAAAAUCUGUUUCAAUUCUUCACAUUUCGUCGUCUAUCAAACAGCCCAACUAUCGCGGAUGAACUCACUACUCGUAUGACCCUUUCGGCGUCGUAUGCAACUCGUUGCAACCACGGGUCGGAAUCGCAUAUGCGGUGCAGAAACUACUGAACCUACUGAAUUCGUAUGAACCUAUGGAACUGGUUGCACGGGUCGGAAUCGCAUACGGUUUGCUGAACGGACCCGGCCUAUGGAACUCGUUGCACUCACGGGUCGGAAUCGAUUUCGACCUAGCCGCACCCGACUCCGGAUCGAUCCGUUAGUGGAGUCACUAGUGUCUAAUGACCCAUCACUAGUAUCUCGCCCUAAAGAUGCUUCACAGCCGCACCAGAGUACAAUGUGUUGACGCAGUGGAUCGAUUUUAUCUGUACACACACUCGUACCUAGCGACAGAGCCCUGGGAGCGAAUGCUACAUCAGUGAACUGUGAUCUCAAGCAUCACACCAGGGGCAUUGGAAGAUAAGACGUUUGGGACCACACAUCACACAGCCACUCACGGUUGUAUCAAUAGCGUCCGCUCGUGAUGCUCAAAGGCGAAGGGUGCCAACGCAUGGGCUUCAAAGCGUUUUCGCUAUCAGACUAUCAGCGCUGCGACACGAUGGAAAGGCAGACCGGUGAGCAAGCGAUUCUAUUUACGAAACCCACUCCGGUGUACGUGCGUAUCUUCGCUUCCUGGUGCUGGGAGUAGCAUCUAGCACGUAUCGAUCUGGUCCGACGGUGUACGCCGCAUGGCUCCCAACUAGCAGGGAAGCCCCACGUGAAAGCGAUUUUAGUGCAGGGGUGCUCGCAUGGCACGGACUGUUUUGUCCUGACGCCUAUAAUAGGACGAGAAUGCCACUCUCUCCAGAGAGAAGAGCGAGCGAGAACAUCGUUAGCGUACCCUUUCGCCGCACACAGAGAGCAUUUUGGGCGCUAGCGUACCACGAAGCAGGACCGCCACACCUUGCCCGACUGGCCGACACGGCAAAGAUACGGAAGACGUAACGUGAGACGACACUAGGCAAGGGGCUCGAUCGGGAUGCGCGUGGCAGAGGAGUUCCGAGGAUAUACCGGCGUGGCGCGGGUUUUUGCGGCCGAACUGGAGGGCGUUUUCUGUUUGUCAUCUAGAUCAAACACACGCAAACGUUAUCUGGUGGGACAGUGGCGCUCUUGUCUGCGUGUGUUGGCCUCUGUAGGAAUCGAAACCAAUAAAAAAAAAAUCUUCAAACCGCA